CCUAUUGUGUCCAAGAAAAGAAAGCUAAACAGUGGAGAGGGCUCAUCUAUUCCAACUAAGGCUAAGGGUACCAAACAGCCCCCAAAGACAAAGAAUGAGCUCAGAGAAAAGGCAAAGCUUAAAGCAGCAAAGCUGAAGAAAAAAAGGGAGGAAAAGAAGACAGGCGCAAAUGCAUCAGGUGCUAGAGCUGCAACCACAAGCAAGGUUAAAGCAUCUGCUUCUGCAACUGGAUCAACAAGGUCAUCUGUCAGAAUCAGACAAAAUGCAAAGGCUGGAAAAUAGAGGAAUUGGAGUAUGUGAUUAGCAUCCAAGGUCAGGAUAUUAGAGAUGCAUAUUGCCUACUUUUGUGCAACCUUGUGCUGUGUCACAAGGUUGCUAGUUCUAAUCUUUUGCAAAGAUGAUUAGGGCUAAUCUUUUGUGGACCUUAUUCCAAACUGAGAUUUUUUGGGUAGUUUGGAUGUAAAAUAGAUUUAUGCAUCUAUAUGGGUGCUAAUUAUGAACAUGAUUUCCAUUUCUAUUGAAGAUCUUAUUUUGGUACAAAUGUGAUAUUUUCCAGGUUUUAAGCAUACCCAUUUAAUUUUUGGUU
Molecule: long non-coding RNA, 586 nt
Organism: Rosa chinensis
Lineage: Eukaryota; Viridiplantae; Streptophyta; Magnoliopsida; Rosales; Rosaceae
Exons: 3
Source: RefSeq, a predicted model, not a curated record